ACCUUAGUGACUCCAUAAUACAUAGAAUGUUGUGGCAGUGACCCAUUAAGAUUUUCAACAUUAGGUCAUAAAAGGCUAUGUAGUCUCUGCCUGACUCUCUUGCAAUGCUCACUCUUAGAAACCAACUGCCAUGCUGUGAGGAAGCCCAAGACGCGUGGAAAGGAUCUACCUACUCAACAUGGAGACGAUGAGGAUGAAGACCUUUAUGAUGAUCCACUUCCACUUAGUAAAUAGACCUGGAAAAAGCAUAUCCCAUGGGGGCAGGAUGCAGAAGACAGCUCACAUGUGACCCUGAUGAAGACAAAGGUGGGAAUUAGAGAAGACACAGAGUUUGGGCUCCAGAAAGGGAGAGGGAAAGAAGAAAGGAAGAGAUGUGUUGUCCUGUCCUAGUAAGACAAGCCUCACCUCCUCGUGAGAAGUGGAAAGGACAAGGAGAGGAUGAACAUUCCUAUUGCAAUGGCCAAGGAAGGAUCAUGCAGAGAGGAAGAAAGGUUCUCCUAUAACUUUAAGAAACAAGAGUGAGUGCAAGCAAAAUGCAGACACAAAACUACUGAGUAGGUUGUGGAAUCUAUGCUGCAGAGAUGGAGAGAGGAUAUAGGAUCCUCCAUUUUUGUUUCUUAUUUUAACUUUAUUCUUGCCUGUGGUAAAAUACAUAUAAUAGAAAAUGUA
This is a long non-coding RNA of Gorilla gorilla gorilla (western lowland gorilla), 669 nucleotides long. RefSeq lists it as uncharacterized. Lineage: Eukaryota; Metazoa; Chordata; Mammalia; Primates; Hominidae. The record is from RefSeq and is a predicted model, not a curated record. The transcript has 3 exons.